RNAcentral lists this ribosomal RNA (292 nucleotides) under uncultured bacterium. RNAcentral describes it as "partial 16S ribosomal RNA". It matches the Rfam family "Bacterial small subunit ribosomal RNA", at positions 505 to 796 of the family's 1533-position model. The record is from RNAcentral.
GUGUCAGCAGCCGCGGUAAGACGUAGGAGGCGAGCGUUGUCCGGAUUCAUUGGGCGUAAAGAGCGCGUAGGCGGUUUGGUAAGUCGGAUGUGAAAGCCCGGAGCUCAACUCCGGAUCUGCAUCCGAAACUGCCCGACUAGAGGUAGGUAGGGGAGAUCGGAAUUCCUGGUGUAGCGGUGAAAUGCGCAGAUAUCAGGAGGAACACCGGUGGCGAAGGCGGAUCUCUGGGCCUUACCUGACGCUCAGGCGCGAAAGCUAGGGGAGCGAACAGGAUUAGAAACCCUAGUAGUCC